Molecule: non-coding RNA, 26 nt
Filed under: Rattus norvegicus (Norway rat)
Lineage: Eukaryota; Metazoa; Chordata; Mammalia; Rodentia; Muridae
Source: RNAcentral
UGGUUAAGCACACGAUGGGGAACUGA